RNAcentral lists this ribosomal RNA (253 nucleotides) under uncultured bacterium. Its description in RNAcentral is "partial 16S ribosomal RNA". It matches the Rfam family "Bacterial small subunit ribosomal RNA", at positions 524 to 776 of the family's 1533-position model. The record is from RNAcentral.
UACAGGGGGGGCAAGCGUUGUUCGGAAUUACUGGGCGUAAAGGGUUCGUAGGUGGCUCACUAAGUCACACGUGAAAUCCCUCAGCUUAACUGGGGAACUGCGUGUGAAACUGGAGAGCUUGAGGGUAGGAGAGGAAUGCAGAAUUCCAGGUGUAGCGGUGAAAUGCGUAGAUAUCUGGAGGAAUACCGGUGGCGAAGGCGGCAUCCUGGACCGACAUUGACGCUGAUGAGCGAAAGCUAGGGGAGCAAACGGG